RNAcentral lists this unclassified non-coding RNA (329 nucleotides) under soil metagenome. RNAcentral describes it as "partial contains 5.8S ribosomal RNA, internal transcribed spacer 2, and large subunit ribosomal RNA". The stretch from base 1 to 120 matches the Rfam family "5.8S ribosomal RNA", at positions 35 to 154 of the family's 154-position model. The record is from RNAcentral.
GAUGAAGAACGUAGCGAAAUGCGAUAAGUAGUGUGAAUUGCAAAAUUCAGUGAAUCAUCGAAUCUUUGAACGCACAUUGCGCCCCUUGGUAUCCCGAGGGGCAUGCCUGUUCGAGCGUCAUUUCACCACUCAAGCCUGGCUUGGUGUUGGGCGACGUCCCCUUUGGGGACGCGCCUCGAAACGCUCGGCGGCGUGGCACCGGCUUUAAGCGUAGCAGAAUCUUUCGCUUUGGAAGUCGGGGCCCCGUCUGCCGGAAGACCUACUCGCAAGGUUGACCUCGGAUCAGGCAGGGAUACCCGCUGAACUUAAGCAUAUCAAUAAGCGGAGGA